GUCUGGCUCUGUCACCCAGGCUGGAGUGCAGUGGCGCGAACUCCACUCACUGCAACGUAUGCCUCCUGGGUUCAAGCAAUUUUCCUGCCUCGGCCUCCUGAGCAACUAAGAUAACAGGCAUGUGCCACCACACCCA
Cebus imitator (Panamanian white-faced capuchin) is the source of this 136-nucleotide long non-coding RNA. RefSeq lists it as uncharacterized. NCBI's taxonomy places the organism in Eukaryota, Metazoa, Chordata, Mammalia, Primates, Cebidae. The record is from RefSeq and is a predicted model, not a curated record. The transcript has 3 exons.